GCGGACGUAGCUCAGAGGUAGAGCACUGGAUUGUGGCUCCGGUGGUCGCGCGUUCGAAUCGCGUCGUUCGCCCCA
RNAcentral lists this transfer RNA (75 nucleotides) under Magnetococcales bacterium. RNAcentral describes it as "tRNA-His". It matches the Rfam family "tRNA". From Rfam's summary of the family: Transfer RNA (tRNA) molecules are approximately 80 nucleotides in length. Their secondary structure includes four short double-helical elements and three loops (D, anti-codon, and T loops). The record is from RNAcentral. Lineage: Bacteria; Pseudomonadati; Pseudomonadota; Magnetococcia; Magnetococcales.